UGGUCAAGUUAUUAAGGGUGCAGGGCGGAUGCCUUGGCACUAGGAGCCGAUGAAGGACGUGAUAAGCUGCGAUAAGCUUCGGGGAGUUGCACGUAAACUUUGAUCCGAAGAUUUCCGAAUGAGGAAACUCACUUAGAGUAAUGUCUAAGUAUCAUUAAGUGAAUACAUAGCUUAAUGAGGGGAACUCAGGGAACUGAAACAUCUAAGUACCUGAAGGAAGAGAAAGAAAUUCGAUUCCGUAAGUAGCGGCGAGCGAACACGGAUUAGCCCAAACCAAUAAAGUUUUCUUUAUUGGGGUUGCGGACAUAUCAUAACGAAGAGGUAUCGUAAUUGAAGAGGUUUGGAAAGACCCACCACAGAAGGUAAUAGUCCUGUAUGUUAAACGA
This 386-nucleotide ribosomal RNA is filed under the name Clostridioides difficile. Its description in RNAcentral is "bacterial LSU rRNA". It matches the Rfam family "Bacterial large subunit ribosomal RNA", at positions 1 to 387 of the family's 2925-position model. The record is from RNAcentral. Lineage: Bacteria; Bacillati; Bacillota; Clostridia; Peptostreptococcales; Peptostreptococcaceae.